Molecule: ribosomal RNA, 327 nt
Filed under: uncultured bacterium
Lineage: Bacteria
Description: bacterial SSU rRNA
Rfam family: Bacterial small subunit ribosomal RNA
Source: RNAcentral
AACGAACGCUGGCGGCAUGCUUAACACAUGCAAGUCGAACGGACUUGUGGGGCUUGCUCUACAAGUUAGUGGCAGACGGGUGAGUAACGCGUGGGAAUGUACCUUUUGGUUCGGAAUAACUACGGGAAACUGUGGCUAAUACCGGAUAAGCCCUCCGGGGGAAAGAUUUAUCGCCAAAAGAAGCAGCCCGCGUUAGAUUAGGUAGUUGGUAGGGUAAUGGCCUACCAAGCCGACGAUCUAUAGCUGGUCNGAGAGGAUGAUCAGCCACACUGGGACUGAGACACGGCCCACGACUCCUACGGGAGGCAGCAGUGGGGAAUAUUGGAC